This 253-nucleotide ribosomal RNA is filed under the name uncultured bacterium. RNAcentral's name for it is "partial 16S ribosomal RNA". It matches the Rfam family "Bacterial small subunit ribosomal RNA", at positions 524 to 776 of the family's 1533-position model. The record is from RNAcentral.
UACGGGGGGGGCAAGCGUUGUUCGGAAUUACUGGGCGUAAAGGGCGUGUAGGCGGCCAACUAAGUCCGACGUGAAAUCCCCAGGCUCAACCUGGGAACUGCGUCGGAUACUGGAUGGCUUGAAUCCGGGAGAGGGAUGCAGAAUUCCAGGUGUAGCGGUGAAAUGCGUAGAUAUCUGGAGGAAUACCGGUGGCGAAGGCGGCAUCCUGGACCGGCAUUGACGCUGAAGCGCGAAAGCUAGGGGAGCAAACGGG